RNAcentral lists this long non-coding RNA (1602 nucleotides) under Moschus moschiferus (Siberian musk deer). RNAcentral describes it as "lncRNA (ENSMMSG00000007711.1)". The record is from RNAcentral. Lineage: Eukaryota; Metazoa; Chordata; Mammalia; Artiodactyla; Moschidae.
CCGGGAGCCGCAGCGACGACGCCGGGCGCUCAGAGUUAUGCGUUCGGGGUCUCGGAGAGUUCGAGGGUCGCCCACGUUGGGGCUGCUGCUGCUACUGGGACUACCGUGGCCAGUGUGGGGGACGGAGGAGUUUCCAGGAAACACCCUUGGAGAGCCAGUCAUUCUGCACUGGAGCCUAGAUGGACAACCCCAGUGGAUGGUCACCCUGGAGGAGCCGGUCCCAAAGCUAGAAGUGAGACUGGUAGCCUUGGAGGCUGAAGGUCAGGAGCUCCUGCUAGAGCUGGAGAAGAAUCAGUGAGUACCAGGCUGGGGAAAGAGCUGGGAGGCAAGAACAGCCCCUCUCUCUGGGGAAGGAUCACUGCUGGGGGCAGGGACUGAUGGGAACCCCAGAGGGAGGCUGGAUGGGGUGAGAGCCCCAGAGGAGGAGGUGCAGGUCACAGGGAGAGUCAAUGUUAGUCUCGACAGGCUCCCUCGAGACUGAAAUUGGUUACUGAGGCUGGAUUCGCUGUAGGGCAGAGCUCUCAUCCCAGCCCCAGAAACAUCUUGUCAGCUUCCUGCCACGAAUGAGCAAGCAUCACCUGCUGGGUGAUCACAGGGUGUGCUGAGUCAAAAGAGAAUCCAAGCUGGAUUCCAAGAAUGGGCAGGUGGUCCAGAAGGUGGGAAUGCCAGGCACAAAGGUCAAGGCACAUUCGGGGGUAGCAAUUUUUCUGGCUUGCCUGGGGAGUCUCCUUCUACAGGGAAGGGAGCAAAGAGAAACAAAUUUGGGGAGUCCUAGCAGGGCCAGAUUAUAAAAGGCCAUUUUGGUGCUGAGUGUCCAGGAUAGUGCAAAGCCAAAGAUUUUGAACUGGCGAAUGAACAAGCAGAGCUGGGCUGGGUGAGGUGAGUGUCUAAGAUGGAGAGUGGGUUCUUGAAACCAUCUAGAUUGUAUUAUCGACAUCUCAUUUAUCAAGUGCUUGUUUCAUCACAGGCACUGUUCUGAGCACCCUACAUACACAUGCUUUAUUCUCCCCCAAGCAUUGAGAACAAACUCAGGUUCUGCUAUGCCUAACUAUAGUUUCUCUGGGGUUCAAUAUCCCCGUGUGUUAAAAGAGGUGAUCACAUCACCUCCUCCCUAGGUUUGAGUGUGUGGGUGGAGUUGGGGAGCAAAGUUGGAGGAGGGGGAAAGACUGGAGAGUGGAUAAGCAGGCAUCACAAGUCUUUGGGGGCAGUUUUGGGGUAAAGAGGUCAAGGUGGAGAGGGAUGAAGGAUUUUCUUCAACGAGAAAUUGACUUAUGGUUGAUCCAUCUUGGUGGGAAGGAUGCUGGUGAGGUGAAGCCUGAAGAUGAAAUCAUUACUUGAGUGGGGUCUGGAGAAAGAGAGGAGGAUCCCUGUCACAUGGGCGGGAUCUGCAGUGUGAUUUCUGUAUUCUCUGGAAGUAGCGGGUGAGCCUCAGUGAAAGACAGCUGGGGAGAUAGGUAGGAUCUGGGGGCCUGAGGAGAUUUGAAGGAACUUUGAGUGGGAGGAGGUGUCCCAGAGCAAGGGUCCCUAACCUCUCGGAUCUAAUGCCUGAUGAUCUGAGGUGGAGCUGAUGUAAUAAUAAAGUGCACCAUAAAUAUAAUGCGC